ACGGGAGGCAGCAGUGGGGAAUAUUGCACAAUGGGGGAAACCCUGAUGCAGCGACGCCGCGUGAGCGAUGAAGUAUUUCGGUAUGUAAAGCUCUAUCAGCAGGGAAGAUAAUGACGGUACCUGACUAAGAAGCUCCGGCUAAAUACGUGCCAGCAGCCGCGGUAAUACGUAUGGAGCAAGCGUUAUCCGGAUUUACUGGGUGUAAAGGGAGCGCAGGCGGUCUGGCAAGUCUGAUGUGAAAACCCGGGGCUCAACCCCGGGACUGCAUUGGAAACUGUCAGACUAGAGUGUCGGAGGGGUAAGUGGAAUUCCUAGUGUAGCGGUGAAAUGCGUAGAUAUUAGGAGGAACACCAGUGGCGAAGGCGGCUUACUGGACGACAACUGACGCUGAGGCUCGAAAGCGUGGGGAGCAAACAGGAUUAGAUACCCUGGUA
Molecule: ribosomal RNA, 434 nt
Filed under: uncultured bacterium
Lineage: Bacteria
Description: partial 16S ribosomal RNA
Rfam family: Bacterial small subunit ribosomal RNA
Source: RNAcentral